CACAAAGAUGGAAACUGAACUUCAG
This 25-nucleotide non-coding RNA is filed under the name Cricetulus griseus (Chinese hamster). The record is from RNAcentral. Lineage: Eukaryota; Metazoa; Chordata; Mammalia; Rodentia; Cricetidae.